RNAcentral lists this long non-coding RNA (1207 nucleotides) under Cyanistes caeruleus (blue tit). RNAcentral's name for it is "lncRNA (ENSCCEG00000014447.1)". Lineage: Eukaryota; Metazoa; Chordata; Aves; Passeriformes; Paridae. The record is from RNAcentral.
AGAGAAACUUUCUGAAAUCUGUAACUGAUUUCCCUGGUCUGACUUUGGGAUUUGGAGUCUUUGUGAAAAAAAAUCUAAACCCUACCACACAAUCACUAGCAUUUAAGAAAAAAUAAUAAGAAAAUAAAUGGGUUUUUUGCUUCUCCUGAUUUCUGUGAGGAGCUCCAUGUUCAGCACCUGACUGAUCUACCAGUUUGGAGGGGGGACCCUUUAUGUCCUUUUAAAGGGAGUCUGAGUCAUUUCCUCUGCUGGAGAAUGAACAGUGCUGAGACUGUGCCCUAAGCCCUGCAGUGACACUUCGAGGGAUGGCGAGAGCCCCAUGGGAAAGCUUUCUGCUGGAGCUACUAGAGAUAGAGGAAGAAAUAUCCCCUUCCUACGUGAAUCCACGGACCAGGAGUAAAGAUAAGGGUGAUGUGAAUGAUCUCUUCUUGCAUAUCCCCUUCCUAUGCACCCUUUUGAUCUAAUUUACAUUAUUAUUUGUUUCAGGGUGACCAGUCUCCCUGACCUUGCCAUGGAGGUCUAUUGAAGUUCACUUGUCGACUUCAUGCACAGGAUUUCAACCCAUGUCUGUGAUUAGUGAUGAAAUGAAAUUCACAGCUUGGAAUCAUUUAUUCAGCAUAUCCAUAUCCAAUAUCCAUAUCCAAAUACAAACAUCCUUUGUGCUUGAAAAUUAAUCAGGGCUGGAGGCAGCUAGCCUGCUGCAGAGGUUUGUGAUAGAUUAAUGAGCUGAGAACAAGCUGCCACCUCCACCCCCAUCAUCAGUGACUUUCCAGUCAGAGGAAAGGGAUGUUGAGCUAGAGGUGGAUAUAUUCUCUGAUAAGUGUGGCAGUGGGAGGUGAGAAAUAAGAGCUCCAAGUGGAGUAGGAGGGGGAAAAAAAAGGCAAGCACUGUCCUCUGUUAAGCAGGGUACAGUUUAGACAGCAGCUGCCUGACAGUCUUCUGGCAGGAGGGUCAGGGCAGGAGCAGCCCUGUGCUCGCAGCACCUGUUAUUGAAUGCUACCCGCAGGUACCAGGGCAGCAGAGACCGUGAUUUUCCGACUUCUUCCAGUCACAGGGGAAGGUCAGGGGCCUGUGAGACGAAAGGAGAUGAUGAAAUGGCUGACGAGGUCUGCCCUCAGUGAGAUACAGUAACACCAGUGCAGAAGGGCUCAUAUCCCAGAGGCUUUUUGGGGUUAAAGACGAAAAUAAAGUCUGAGUUUGAGUGUCA